AAUAACGUGGGGCCUGGAGCAGGUGUUGUCCUCCUUAAAAGACAACUUGCAGCCCGUCAACCAAUUUCUUCCCAUCUGGAAGGGAGAAGGCAGCCCUCCUUGGUCCAGCGUGAGUGGGGCUGCAGAGGAACUGGGGCACAUAAGGUUGAAGGAUGCUGCUGCUAUUAAUUGGGGUAUUGUGUGUAAAGUGAUUGGCAAUCAGCAUGAUUGUGUGCUAUAAUCACAGGGCUGCAAGAGACCUGUAACUGCUGGGCUGCUGUUUUUCCUGAUAUGAAGCCUAUUCUUUAGAGGAUGUCCUCCAAGGAUUGUCUGAACAUGUCGAUAUCUGCCAUCCUGCACGGACGACUCUUCCAACUUGAAUUUGAUUUUUUUCAGACUCCAGGAGCCCCAAUGAAUUAAAAAAAAAAAGUUGUUUGAGCAUUCAAAAAUGGCAUAUUUUGAAGAAUCUUUGUGGCUAUUUUAACCUUUUGUUAGAAGGAAACCUACAUGUUGAAACUUGAAGGAGGGCCAAGGAUGUAUGUGACUUGUUUAGGAUUGUGGAGGUAAAGAGGACCCAGACAGGCACUCUAUACCAGCUCCCUGAUCACUGGUUGGCACUUUUUCUCUUCACUAUAUCGCCAGUGCUGUUUAAGACAGAAUGUCUGUCCUGGAUUGGAAAAAUAUCUCUGCUUCUUCCCACCCAAGUUGGGUUCUCUGCCCACUGCAAGACAUGCCAAUAGUCAGGAGGCGAGGUGGUAGGGGAGAAAGGCUUUCUUUUUUAUAGCUUGCUAGUAAGAGGGAAGAUGGCCAACUCAUGUCCGAAAGAGCUAUCUUACAGAACAAAGACUGUCGGCCAGUUAUAUAUGGGGCUGGUUUCCGGGUGGGGGCAGACAUGUGGUUUUAGUUUCUGAUAGUCCUUUUGUUUUACCGGAUAACCACAUCAGAGACAGGAACAAUGCCCUACACCCUGAUCUUUCAGUUGUCAUUGAUGGCUAUCAGCAUAGGCUCUCUUUCCCAGAAGGUCAUCACAUUCCUAGAGAACUCAAAAGAACAAAGUUAUCAUCUUAUCACAGUUGGGAGGGGCCACAAAAUCUACAGAGCAUGUCUGGGCUAGUUAAUCAGAGGUCAUUUAAAAAGUUACUAUAUGGUUUCUUUUCUACAGUAUGGUUUCCCUCAUGUCAACCUUGUGUUGAGCUGGUAUCACGCUGAGGUGUUAAUCAUUUGGAGGAGCUUUCUAGGCCCCAAACUUAAAAUAAUUUUGUUCAUACUUGUUAGGGAAAAAAAAAACUUUCAAAAAGUAACGGUUACAAUCAUAAGAAGACAAACAACCUGAUUAAAAAUUAUCCAAAGAUUUAAACGGACACUUCACAAAAGAAAAUAUAUGAAUAGUCAAUAGGCUCAUGAAAAGAUAUUCAUCAUCAUUAGUCAUCAGGGAAAUGCAAAUAAGAACCACAACUUGAUACCACAACACCCACUGAAAUGGCUUAAAUUAAAAAAGACUGACAUGAAAAACACCAAGUUUUGGUGAGGAUGUGGAAUAAGUAGAAUUCUCAUACCUUGCUUAUGGGAAGGCACAACCACUUUGGGGAACUUCUUGGCUGUUUUGUAUAAACUUAGAUAUAUACUUGGGUAAAGCACAUUUACCCAAAAGGA
RNAcentral lists this long non-coding RNA (1632 nucleotides) under Equus caballus (horse). RNAcentral describes it as "lncRNA (ENSECAG00000056774.1)". Lineage: Eukaryota; Metazoa; Chordata; Mammalia; Perissodactyla; Equidae. The record is from RNAcentral.